Molecule: long non-coding RNA, 3834 nt
Filed under: Homo sapiens (human)
Lineage: Eukaryota; Metazoa; Chordata; Mammalia; Primates; Hominidae
Description: non-protein coding BAIAP2-DT:22
Source: RNAcentral
ACUUCGCGAAGUGGCACUUCGGGGCGGGCGGCCCGCCGGGUCGCGGCCUGGCGCUGCGGGGCGGGGAGCGGCUCGGACGCAGGACGCCGCGGGCCGGGCUUACAGGUGGGAGAGGCCCCGACCCCGCCGCUUCGCAGGCCAGCUUCCUGCUGUGUUCCCUGCACCCACCGAUCUCACACGCAGCCCUAGGACAGACGUCCACUGGCCUGAGUUGGGUCUGGGGCCAACACGGAGCAGGUGGGGGUAGAGCAGCUCUGCUCGCCUGGAGGAAAGUUGAAUGGCUGGAACCAAGAUGACAGAUGGAGGCUGGCAGGCAAACACGGGAGGCCUCCUCACUCCAAGAGGGGAGUCAGCCUGGGGACAGUUCUUCUCCAGGCCCUGCUGCUCCCAUCAGCUGCAACACAGGAGAGGUAGGCUUCUCCGGAAAAGCUCCCACGGUCCUGGAUCCCGCUCCACCUUCUAGAAGCUCCCAGCGUUACUUCCUGAGCUGGCCUGCACAUCGUUGCGCUACUCCCGUCCAAGGGGGGACAUAUUCGGUGACCGACUCAGAACGCAGCCUGCUUCCCGGGUGGCCAGUGGCUCAGCAGUCUCGGUGCCUGAGCCUGCUCCCUCCGCCCGGCGGCUGGGCAGGUGGCUGAAUGCGGGCUGGAGGCCUUCCCUGAGAAGACGGUUAUCCAUGCUGUACAUGGAAGUGACCAGCUCGGCACCUGAGGAGACACACCGCGGCCGAUGACAGGCGCAGAGCAGGACGUGGUGAGGUCCUCAUACCUAGGAAUGCAGAACAAGGGCAAGAAACUCGGUGCCCGCCUGGCAUCUGCCCUGCACCAGUGGCCUCCAGGAAGUUCUCCACCAAGGAUGUUCCCCAGGCACUCUGUGCUCGCCUUCACCAGCGUCCUGUGAGGUCUUUCACACUGAUGGGGAAGCCUUUCUAAAGGGUAUUAGGGGGCUUGGGGGCUGGGGGUGCUGAGUACCAAGGGUCCCAGGAAGAGACAGGCCAGGCUUAUGGGCUGGGCAUCCAGAGAUCGCCCUGACGCCAGCUCCAGGUGGAGUUAGGAGGGCACUCUUGUCCCGACGCAUUUACAGACCACUCCCUCUUCUUGUUCCCCUCGACUCUGAGAGUGUGGUGGGGUAGCUGUGGAACCUGACUGCUUGCCUGAAGGUUGGGCAGCGUGGCUAGAAAUUGCGGCCCAGACCUGGGAUCUCACCCACACCUCUAUGAGACGUCCUGAAGGAAACCAUCGACUGAGCGGAGAGGCUUCGCCUUGCCCGCCUCCUCCCAGGAAGGAAGAGCGGAAGAGGCGUCGCCAGCCACCGAGACUGCCAGCCACCACCCCCUCCCAGACUCUCUGUCCCCACCCCAGACCAGGGUCACCUUCUUCCUGCACUGGGGGUGGGGUGCGGUAGGUUUCGCAAUCCAGACUGUGGGGUGGGGGUGGGAGCAGGUGUGUGUAAAUGAGCAGCUCGUCAGGAGUCACUGAGAAGGAGGCAGAUGGAGCUGGUACCCAGCAGGUCUCCUCUCAUAAGCGUCAACCCUCGCCUGGGCGGGCUGGGGGAUCCUCAGCACCCCAGCUCUGAGCCAGGGGUCUGCAACCCGGGCACCAGCGAUGGGCCCUCAUGCACACAGGGCGCCGAGCGGGGCCGGAGGCAAGAGUGACUUCAGACAGGAACCCGACGCCACAGCCGGUGACGCGGACCCUGGGUCAGCCAGCACGAUGGGCCGCUGGGGAGAGGAGGGCUGGAGGCAGAGAGUGUAAGUGUGCAGCCUUCAUCAGCUUAUUUUUAGUCGCGUUAUGUAAGUGGCUUCAUCUCAACGUCACAUGGGGGGGGGUCUCAGAUUUAAUUACAGGAUGACAGCCUUUGCUUUUCAAGCAAGCUGUUCUCCUGGCAAGCCAGGCGAAGGAUUGGGGAGUUUUGCUAAACAGAAGGAGCCCUUUCUGAGGUGACCACCCGUCAAAACUUGAACCCGCUUCCACCUCCGUCUCCCUCUUCCCGACCAGCCUCACCCAGCCUCGGCUGAAUGUGGCCUGAGAGUAGCCACUUGUCCGCAAUCACAGGGACGUUUUAUGCCUGUCAAGGGAGCUUCCUCUCUCCUCUUCCUCCCCCUCCCACCUUCUGCCUGGCAGCUUUGCCUUCUCUCCAAGAGAAGGGUCCACCCAAUCAGAACUCCUCUUCCUUUUCAUUCCUGGAUUAAAGCACUUGUAAUCAGUAACCAGAAAGUUCCAGAGCGGGAGAGACCGGAAGGCACUGGAGUGCUAUCGGACGGGUGUCUGGGGCAGAGCCAGGAGGGCGAGCCUCUUCUCUCCCCGCCUGCCCUUGCUCACUUCCCCCUCCAUGCCAGGUGCUGUGGGAGCAGCUGGGCCUGGCCGGGGUCGGCGGGUGAAGCUAUCCGCAUGGUGUCUGGAGCACCGUUUCUUUGCUUCCUGGAUGGGCUGGAUGGGCUCCCGUGUUCUUCACCAAUGGCAGCGUUACCAGCACCAAUGGCAGCGUUACCAGCAAGAAGGCAAAGGCAGGAGCACAUCGAGGGUGGGAGCCAGGGCUGUGGGGUCAGGAGUCCCGCUCCUUGCCGCGGGAAGCCUGGCUCAGCCACCUCCAGCACACUUCGGCUUUGUCCAGCAUAAAAGGCAGAGCGACGUUUUCACUGCAGGCUGUUUCCCACCAGGGCAAGUGGGACAGGGCGAGUGCUGACGUCUGCAGGCAUGGUGUGCAUUUAGGGGUGGGCGGCACCGAGGGGGCAUCAUUUGGCAUAGGCGGGCCCGGGGGCCACUGGGCUAGAUGACUGGCUGGUUGCUGGGGGCAGGUGUCACAGCCUCUCUGAGCACCCUCUAAGUGGAGGACAGAACAUUGUUGGGAGGAGUCCAGGCAUAAAGUGACAUAAACAGCGCAGAGAAUGGGACCAGCGCACCUGAGAGGUGAUCAUUAGCCUCAGCAACUGGAUGGGACAUUCCGAAGAGCUCCCAGCCAACACAGAUGGUCACUCCAGAGGCUGACAUUUAAAAGGAAGGGGCCCGGCCGGGCACAGUGGCUCACGCCUGUAAUCACAACACUUUGGGAGGCUGAGGCGGGCAGAUCAACUGGGGUCAGGAGUUCAAAACCAGCCUGGCCAACAUGGUGAAACCGCAUCUCUGCUGAAAAUACAAAAAAUUAGCCAGGCAUGGUGGUGGGCACCUGUAAUCCCAGCUACUCAGGAGGCUGAGGUAGGAGGAUCGCUUGAACCCAGGAAGUAGAGGUUGCAGUGAGCCGAGAUUGUGCCAUUGCACUCCAGCCUGGGCGACAAGCGAAACUUCGUCUCAAAAUAAAUAAAAGUAAGGGGCACAGGGAGGGGGCCCCAGCUCGUGCCCCUUCUGUGUGGGCUGCACAUGGUGACUUCCUUCCAGAGAGCACAGAGUGGGAGGUAGGCAAGGCGUCUCCACAGUGGAGAGCCCGACCCACUGUCUCAGCCCAGAGGUCAAGGCUGGCACCAUCACCGAGAGGUCACACGGGCAGAUGUGACAGGGCGCUUCACCACUGGGCUCUUCCUCCCAGACCCAUAACCCUUGUCUUAGUAUUAGAAAAACACUGGCAGACCGGGCGCAGUGGCUUACACCUGUAAUCGCAGCAUUUUGGGAGGCCGAGGUGGGAAGAUUGUUCAAGAGCAGUCUGGGCAACAUGGUGAGACCCCAUCUCUACAAAAAAAAUUUUUUUUUUAAUUAGCCAGGCGUGAUGGCACAUGCCUGUGGUCCUAGCCACUAGAGGCUGAGGUGGGAGGAUCACUGGAGCCCAGGAGGUCAAGGCUGCAGUGAGCUGUGAUCACACCACUGCACUCCAGCCUUGGCGACAAACCAAGACCCUGUCUCG